AGCCUUCUCACUCCUCACUGAGUCCACUCUGAACGUGCUAAAAUGGGAAGGAGGCGGUGUUUUGCUGAUCUGUUAAAUUCUUAGUGAAGUUUCCUUGAUUUCCAGUGGCUGCUGUUGUUUGAGUUUGGUUUGGAGCAAAACUGAGGUAGUCCUAACAUUUCUGGGACUGAAUCCAGGCAAGAGAAAGAAGAAAAAGAAGAAGAAAAAGAGGAGGAAAAAGCCUGGAAAACAUAUUAAUCCCAGUGCUUUUACGCCCGGAAACAAAGAGACUAAGCCAGACUAUGGGGGAAAGGGAGAUAAGAAGGAUCCUGGAACUUUAAAGAGGGAAAGAGUGAGAUUCAGAAAUCGCCAGGACUGGACUUUAAGGGACGUCCUGUGUCAGCACAAGGGACUGGCACACACAGACACACGAGACCGAGGAGAAACUGCAGACAAAUGGAGAUACAAAGACUUAGAAGGACAGCUCCUUUCACCUCAUCCUACUUGUCCAGAAGGUAAAAAGACACAGCCAGAAAGAAAAGGCAUCGGCUCAGCUCUCAGAUCAGGACAGGCUGUGGAUCUGUGGCGGUACUCUGAAAGCUGGAGCUGCAGCACACCCCUUUUGUAUUGCUCACCCUCGGUAAAGA
Molecule: long non-coding RNA, 626 nt
Filed under: Homo sapiens (human)
Lineage: Eukaryota; Metazoa; Chordata; Mammalia; Primates; Hominidae
Description: non-protein coding lnc-CCDC80-1:4
Source: RNAcentral